Molecule: long non-coding RNA, 3579 nt
Organism: Hemibagrus wyckioides
Lineage: Eukaryota; Metazoa; Chordata; Actinopteri; Siluriformes; Bagridae
Exons: 4
Source: RefSeq, a predicted model, not a curated record
CCAGCAGCCUGCACACAACCUGGGCAUCAGGGAGGUCCCAGGCAUCAUCACACACGGUGCCCCAUGCACCACGGUGAUACAGCUCUACUCGACCCUCACAGCGGUUCGGACCACCUGAUAGUCUCAUCGCACCUACAGAGAGAGGGACAGGCUUUACCUUUGCAGGUGACAGCCACAUCCUCAUAAUGGUAGCAGUUGUGGAUGCCCCAGCCUUGAUUGCCACACUGGCUCAGCUCCGUCUCUUCCCCACUGCAGUCAACAUUAUCGAGCAGGAUGGGCCCGGAGCCCUGUCCAAAGCGGGAGCUUGUGCCCACUGCAACAGCUGGACCACACUCCAGCUGUCGGCACACCACGUUGGCAUCCACCAUGUCCCAGUCAUCAUCACACACCGUGCCCCAUGUACCAUUGUAUUGAACCUCAAUACGGCCCUCACACCGGCUCCUGCCGUUCACCAGCCGUACUGAAGGACAAGGAGGACAAGGAGAAUGAAAUGAUACGUUUACAGUACCUUUUGGGGAGACAUACUCUGGAGAAGAGAACAACAAUGAUACUAAAGACCUAGAUGACUAAAGGUUUAAGCUUUUUAUAAGAUCUGAGGAAGGGCAUUGAGGAUAUUGCCACCCUUCGGGAAUCUCCACCUUCAGCCUGCUUCAGGUGGGAUUAAUACUAGAAGCACACAGCUUUCUUUCUGCCUUUCUCCGUCCCUUCUCAGUUCUGUUUUGAUGGUUGACAUAGGAUUGCUUCACAGCUCACACACACACACACACACACAUCUUGUGUAUUUACCGAGUGGUAGACGCAUGUUAAAGGCCAGCAGGAGCAGUGAGGCCAGUAGUGAGAUGAGACAUGUGGAGGCUUUCCAGUGCCUGCACACACUAUUGAGCACACCCUGGUCUCGCAUGGCAGUCUGGGGAAGGAGCCACCAGGAUACCUGUAUACACACACACACACACACACGUAUAUAUGCACACACAAUUUAUCUUUUCAUAUAUUUCACUCCCUUUCAUAGAGUCACAGUCAGAUUCAAGCGUACAGUGUCUGGAAUAUUACUGCUCUGAUUAGACAGCGAUUAUGUCCGUAGUACUUUGCGACUUCCAGUAAAUAGAUUUUCGUAUAAACAGUAACACUUUGAUACACAAUGCUGUUUUAACAAAGCAGUAUUGUGAAUCUACAAACACACGCAAAACUCUACACAGUUAGUAACCCGAGCUCCGGAUCGAACCGGGGACCCUAGAACUGUGAGGUGGCAAUACUAUAUACUAUAUAUAUUUAUGCAAACUGGAAACCAAUUGGCAUGACAGAGAGAGGCUGAGGGUGGUUACUUUGUACUGAAUAACUAAAUCAACAAUAAAAUAAUGGAAAUAAAAGAAUUAAUACUAAGAGCACAUGCUCUGUUAGACCAUUUCAACAGAAAAAAAAAUCGGGAAAAGACUGAGAUUGUUUUUGUUUGAAUAGAUCCUUCAUACAUUUUUAAGAAGUACAUCAAGGGUUAAUUCAAACCUAAGUGCUUAACCGCAUGUUGUACAUAUACAUAUACCUGAUUAAGAGCAGUGGUGGUUUUAACUGGCUCUUGAAUUAUCUGUUAGUUUUCAACCUGAAUAUUCAUCACCUUCAACCUGAAAAUUCACUCAGGGAAAACUGUAUGUACACAUGUUUAUUGUGUAUUUGCCCAAAAUACUGCAAAUUCUGCUAUAAAACAUACAUUUCUGGAAGCAACUUGACGCUGAUAUCAUUUAACCUUGCUGUUACCCAACUCAUACUGUAUACGUCUAUCAGCCAUGCUAAAGAUCAAUCCAUGUGACUUUUUUUUUUCUUUUGUUUUUCCCAAAUCCCUCCUGACCUUCCAAUGGAAUGUGAGCGAGCGGCAGGCUGGUGCACAGGAUCCCAGGACGAGCAGAGAAUUUGAUAUUGGGCCCAAGCAGAUAGUGGACAUUCCGGGGCCGAGGGCACAAAAAGCUGUUUCUGCUGCCUGUUUCUGGGACCUAAGGACUACUUCCUGCGAAUCUUUCACUGGGGCUCUCCAGAAUGCUUAGGCAGCUGAUGACACCAGCCGGGCGCCUCUCGUCUCCCUCUGUCCAGUGACGGAGAUAGCUGGUAACUCACGGGACAGUUUUCCACCUGUUGGAGUUACACAUAGGAACCUCAUGCAAGAGAAGGAGGGGGGAAAAAACAGCGUCCGGCUGCAGAGAUACAGGGUCUUUCAUCUCCGUGGCUAUAAGUAUUUGGCUACAGUUUAUAUAAGGCCUGAAAAAGGCAUCACUAUUAUUUACUAAUGCAUGCCUGGACCCCCGGUCUCUACCACUGUCAGCACAAAGAAUGAAGAAGAGCAAAAAAGGGAGAAAAAGAAGAAAGAGGGACAACUGAAAGCCAGCCCUUCACUGGUACCUAAGCAUCUCUUGUUUCAUGCUCGGCUCUCAGAAACUGCUGGUCUAUUUAUGUGUACGAUGAUAAUGGCUAAUGUGUGUGUGCAAAUGUGUGAAUACAUGGUAAGAAAAAACUAGAGGGAUGUCGAACUUUGUGUCAUUUGAUAUGGUAUUGUUGGUGCGGCUUGGUCUACUGUAUAUACGCAUGUAGUUUUUAUAUACCCGGUGCUUACGGCACAUAGACUCAGAAAACUGAUACUAAAUUGUACCAUUUUCACUAGGUUUGAACCCAUAAAGGCUUAUCCUUUGUAGCUUGUAUGGAGCUUUCACCUGGAAAAGUCAAUGCAGUGUUAUUUAAAACUUAUUUAUGGACCAGCAGUAGUCUUACGAUAUAACUACGUACAAUAAAUAUGUUUUAAAUAAGUUAUAAAGAUGAAUCAUGAAUCUUUCCCAGGUGAACAUCAAUGGUACAAUUUAGUACACUUUUGUCUGAUACUAUUAAAGCAAGAAAGCUCAUGCAAACUUGGCAAUAUACAAAGGAGCUUGCGAUUUUACAGAUUUUUAGCAGAUUUGAGCCAAGACGCAUCGUGUGACGUCAUCAUAACACACAUUCAGCCAAAAAUCCUCUUCGAUUUAUGUGUGUAGAACUUGACUGCAGCUCUCAUAGAAUGUCAUUAUGUAUAUAUAUGUCCUUACUGCAGUUUAAAGGAAGAAUCCUCUGCUUGCAUUUUCACCAAUUCAAGCAGUUUUCAGCAGAAAAAGCACAAAACGUUGCAAAUUUCUUCAGCAAAAUCAAGCAUUUUUGGACACAACCAACACCAAAAACUGUGCAAUUCUGGAGGGACUAGCACCCUAUACUUAUAAACAUUGUCCACUGUUACAUCAGUCAACUGUUGUGUAUCAUACAAAAUAGUAUUUACUCAUGUUCAAGAAUCUUUAUUUUUAUUUCUCCAUUAUAUUUCUCUCCUAACAAGAAAAUUUCUCUGUGUUAGCUCUGAUAUUCAUUUUAUGUUAACCUGACAUUCACACUCUGACUAAUACCUGUGAAAACAUGGGGUCAGCUUAAUGACUGGCAUCAAAACACAAAAGGUUUUUGUAAAUAAUUAAAAUGAUUUAGGAAUCAUUUACUACAGACUAGUUUUAGUGAAACAGAGGUUUGGUGUAUAAUAAUCUCUUGGUCAAUUCAGUACACUUUGCUCUUAUAGUUUUAGUUCCU